GGGAUUUAGCUCAGUCGGCAGAGCGCCUGCCUUGCAAGCAGGAGGCCAACGGUUCGAGUCCGUUAUUCUCC
RNAcentral lists this transfer RNA (71 nucleotides) under uncultured Prevotella sp. It matches the Rfam family "tRNA". From Rfam's summary of the family: Transfer RNA (tRNA) molecules are approximately 80 nucleotides in length. Their secondary structure includes four short double-helical elements and three loops (D, anti-codon, and T loops). Further hydrogen bonds mediate the characteristic L-shaped molecular structure. tRNAs have two regions of fundamental functional importance: the anti-codon, which is responsible for specific mRNA codon recognition, and the 3' end, to which the tRNAs corresponding amino acid is attached (by aminoacyl-tRNA synthetases). tRNAs cope with the degeneracy of the genetic code in two manners: having more than one tRNA (with a specific anti-codon) for a particular amino acid; and 'wobble' base-pairing, i.e. permitting non-standard base-pairing at the 3rd anti-codon position. Lineage: Bacteria; Pseudomonadati; Bacteroidota; Bacteroidia; Bacteroidales; Prevotellaceae. The record is from RNAcentral.